CUACGGGAGGCUGCAGUGGGGAAUAUUGGACAAUGGGCGAAAGCCUGAUCCAGCCAUGCCGCGUGUGUGAAGAAGGCCUUCGGGUUGUAAAGCACUUUCAGUGGGGAAGAAAGCCUUGGGGCUAAUACCCUCGAGGAAGGACAUCACCCACAGAAGAAGCACCGGCUAACUCCGUGCCAGCAGCCGCGGUAAUACGGAGGGUGCGAGCGUUAAUCGGAAUUACUGGGCGUAAAGCGCGCGUAGGCGGUCUGAUAAGCCGGUUGUGAAAGCCCCGGCUCAACCUGGGAACGGCAUCCGGAACUGUCAGGCUAGAGUGCAGGAGAGGAAGGUAGAAUUCCCGGUGUAGCGGUGAAAUGCGUAGAGAUCGGGAGGAAUACCAGUGGCGAAGGCGGCCUUCUGGACUGACACUGACGCUGAGGUGCGAAAGCGUGGGUAGCAAACAGGAUUAGAUACCCCAGUAGUC
RNAcentral lists this ribosomal RNA (463 nucleotides) under Vreelandella stevensii. RNAcentral's name for it is "partial 16S ribosomal RNA". It matches the Rfam family "Bacterial small subunit ribosomal RNA", at positions 339 to 795 of the family's 1533-position model. The record is from RNAcentral. Lineage: Bacteria; Pseudomonadati; Pseudomonadota; Gammaproteobacteria; Oceanospirillales; Halomonadaceae.